Long non-coding RNA from Salmo trutta (river trout), 2477 nucleotides. The record is from Ensembl. NCBI's taxonomy places the organism in Eukaryota, Metazoa, Chordata, Actinopteri, Salmoniformes, Salmonidae.
GACACACGCACACACAGAGAAAGAGACACACGCACACACACACACAGAGAAAGAGACACACACACUCAUACACACAGAGAAAGAGACACACACACACAGAGAAAGAGACACACACACAGAGAAAGAGACACACACACACACACACAGAGAGAAAGAGACACACACACAGAGAAAGAGACACACACACACAGAGAAAGAGACACACACACCCACACACAGAGAAAGAGACACACACAGAGAAAGAGACACACACACAGAGAAAGAGACACACACACACACACACAGAGAAAGAGACACACAUACACACACACAGAGAAAGAGGCACACACACACACACACACACACACAGAGAGAGAAAGAGACACACACACACACACACACACACACACAGAGAAAGAGACACACACACACACAGAGAGAAAGAGACACACACACACAGAGAAAGAGACACACACACACACACAGAGAAAGAGACACACACACACACACACACAGAGAAAGAGACACACACACACACAGAAAGAGACACACACACACAGAGAAAGAGACACACACACACACACACAGAGAAAGACACACACACACACACACACAGAGAAAGAGACACACACACACACACACACAGAGAAAGAGACACACACACACAGAGAGAAGAGACACACACACACACACACACACAGAGAAAGAGACACACACACACACACACAGAGAAAGAGACACACACACACACACAGAGAAAGAGACACACACACACACACACACACACAGAGAAAGAGACACACACACACAGAGAAAGACACACACACACACACACACACACACACACAGAAAGAGACACACACACACACACACAGAGAAAGAGACACACACACACACAGAGAAAGAGACACACACACACACACACAGAGAAAGAGACACACACACACACAGAGAAAGAGACACACACACAGAGAGAAAGAGGCACACACACACACAGAGAAAGAGACACACACACACAGAGAAAGAGACACACACACAAAGAGAAAGAGAGACACACACACAGAGAGAAAGAGACACACACACACAGAGAGAAAGAGACACACACACACAGAGAAAGAGACACACACACACACAGAGAAAGAGACACACACACACACACAGAGAAAGAGACACACACACACACACAGAGAAAGAGACACACACACACACACACACAGAGAAAGACACACACACACACACACAGAGAAAGAGACACACACACACACACACACAGAGAAAGAGACACACACACACACACACAGAGAAAGAGACACACACACACACACACAGAGAAAGAGACACACACACACACACACAGAGAAAGAGACACACACACACACACACAGAGAAAGAGACACACACACACACACACACACACAGAGAAAGAGACACACACACACACACACACACAGAGAAAGAGACACACACACACACACACACACAGAGAAAGAGACACACACACACACACACACAGAGAAAGAGACACACACACACACACACACACAGAGAAAGAGACACACACACACAGAGAAAGAGACACACACACACAGAGAAAGAGACACACACACACAGAGAAAGAGACACACACACACACACACAGAAAGAGACACACACACACACACAAAGAGACACACACAGAGAAAGAGACACACACACACACACACACAAAGAGACACACACAGAGAAAGAGACACACACACACACACACACACACACACACACACACACAGAGAGAAAGAGACACACACACACACAGAAAGAGACACACACACAGACAGAGAAAGAGACACGCACACACAGAGAAAGAGACACACACACACACACACACACACAGAGAAAGAGACACACACACAGAGAAAGAGACACACACACACACACAGAAAGAGACACACACACACACACACACACACACAGAAAGAGACACACACACACACACAGAAAGAGACACACACACACACACACACACACACACAGGGAAAGAGACACACACACACACACACACACAGGGAAAGAGGCACACACACACACAGAGAGAGAAAGAGGCACACACACACACACAGAGAGAAAGAGGCACACACACACACACAGAGAAAGAGACACACACACACACAGAGAAAGAGACACACACACACACACACACAGAGAAAGAGACACACACACACACACAGAGAAAGAGGCACACACACACACAGAGAAAGAGACACACACACACAGAGAGAAAGAGACACACACACACACACACAGAGAGAAAGAGACACACACACACACACAGAGAAAGAGACACACACACACACAGAGAAAGAGACACACACACACACAGAGAAAGAGACACACACACACAGAGAGAAAGAAUAGCUAGGAAUUCGGUAUCAUUGAACGCGAAGACCGACAACCGCCGAAAACAUCUAUUCUAUAACGACAUGAAUGAAUGUCACUCUGAACUAUCCAUUCUAACCACG